CUGGCAGUGUGCUAACACAUGCAGUCGAGAGGGGUUAAGCCCUCGGCAAACGGGUGCGUCACACGUCUAUGUCUGCUUCGAAGCCUCGGAUCACCCUCCGAAAGGAGGAAUCAUCCGAGUAUCGUCCCUACGGGGUCAAGAUUUAUCGCUUCGAAAGGAGUCUGCGGCCUAUCAGCUAGUUGGUGGGGUAAAAGCCUACCAAGGCAACGACGGGUAGCUGGUCUAAGAGGAUGAUCAGCCACAGGGGAACUGAGACACGGUCCCCACUCCUACGGGAGGCAGCAGUUGGGAAUUUUGCGCAAUGGGCGAAAGCCUGACGCAGCGACACUGCGUGGAGGAAGACGGCCUUCGGGUUGUAAACUCCUUUUGCUUGGGAGAAUUAUGAUAGUACCAAGCGAAUAAGUACCGGCUAACUACGUGCCAGAAGCCUCGGUGAAACGUAGGGUACAAGCGUUAUCCGGAGUUAUUGGGCGUAAAGCGUGUCCAGGUGGUUUUAAAAGUUUCCUGUUAAAUGCUGGGGCUCAACUCCAGUUUCGCAGGAAAGACUUUAAAACUUGAGGUUAGUAGAGGUAUAUGGAACUCUCAGUGUAGGAGUGAAAUCCGUUGAUAUUGAGAGGAACACCAAUGGCGAAGGCAGUAUACUAGACUAUACCUGACACUCACACACGAAAGCGUGGGUAGCGAAAAGGAUUAGAUACCCUUGUAGUCCACGCCGUAAACGAUGCAUACUAGUUAUUGGGAGAAUCGACCCUCCUUGUAGCGAAGCUAACGCGUUAAGUAUGCCGCCUGGGAAGUACGGUCGCAAGACUAAGACUCAAAGGAAUUGACGGGGGCUUGCACAAGCGGUGGAGCAUGUGGUUUAAUUCGACGAUAAGCGAAGAACCUUACCAAGACUUGACAUUCUGAUCGUAUCGUAUAGAAAUAUAUGAGUCAGUUCGGCUGGAUCAGUAACAGGUGCUGCACGGUUGUCGUCAGCUCGUGUCGUGAGAUGUUCCGUUAAGUCGGCUAACGAGCGAAACCCUUAUCGCCAGUUGUAUUUUUCUGGCGAGACUGCCUAGGUUAACUGGGAGGAAGGCGGGGACGACGUCAAAUCAGCGUGGCUCUUACGUCUUGGGCCACACACGUGCUACAAUGGCGACUACAAAGGGUUGCAAGAUCGCAAGAUGGAGCUAAUCCCUAAAAGUCGUCUCAGUUCGGAUUGAGGGCUGAAACUCGCCCUCAUGAAGCUGGAAUCGCUAGUAAUCGUGGGUCAGCUAUACCACGGUGAAUACGUUCUCAAGCCUUGUACACACCGCCCGUCAAGCGAGCCGAGUCAGUAAUACCCGAAGCUCCACACUUUGUACGCAAGUAGAUAUCUACUAGUGCAUAAAGUGUGGGUACGUAGACU
RNAcentral lists this ribosomal RNA (1387 nucleotides) under uncultured candidate division WS6 bacterium. Its description in RNAcentral is "bacterial SSU rRNA". It matches the Rfam family "Bacterial small subunit ribosomal RNA". The record is from RNAcentral.